ACGGCUCAGUAACACGUAGAUAACCUACCCAAGAGUCCGGGAUAACCCCGGGAAACUGGGGAUAAUACCGGAUGGAUCACUAGUGCUGGAAUGCUUGGUGGUCGAAAGGUAACGCCUUUGGAUGGGUCUGCGGCGGAUUAGGUUGACGCCGGUGUAACGUACCGGCGUGCCUGUAAUCCGUACGGGUUGUGGGAGCAAGAGCCCGGAGAUGGAUUCUGAGACACGAAUCCAGGCCCUACGGGGCGCAGCAGGCGCGAAAACUCUACAAUGCAGGCAACUGCGAUAGGGGGACAUCGAGUGGCAUCCACCUUGGGUGCCUGUCCAACCGUCUAAAAAACGGUUGUUAGCAAGGGCCGGGUAAGACCGGUGCCAGCCGCCGCGGUAAUACCGGCGGCUCGAGUGGUGGCCGAUAUUAUUGAGUCUAAAGGGUCCGUAGCCGGCUUUGCAAGUCCCCUGGGAAAUCCAGCGGCUUAACCGUUGGGCUUUCAUGGGAUACUACAUUGCUUGGGACUGGGAGAGGUAGGAGGUACUCGGGGGGUAGGGGUGAAAUCCUGUAAUCCUCCGGGGACCACCGGUGGCGAAGGCGUCCUACCAGAACAGGUCCGACGGUGAGGGACGAAAGCUAGGGGCACGAACCGGAUUAGAUACCCGGGUAGUCCUAGCCGUAAACGAUGCCCGCUAGGUGUCACGACGGUCGUGAAUCGUCGUGGUGCCGUAGGGAAGCCGCGAAGCGGGCCACUUGGGAAGUACGGCCGCAAGGCUGAAACUUAAAGGAAUUGGCGGGGGAG
This 788-nucleotide ribosomal RNA is filed under the name uncultured archaeon. RNAcentral describes it as "bacterial SSU rRNA". It matches the Rfam family "Archaeal small subunit ribosomal RNA", at positions 85 to 876 of the family's 1478-position model. The record is from RNAcentral.